AACGUAGGUGGCGAGCGUUAUCCGGAUUUACUGGGCGUAAAGGGUGUGCAGGCGGGCGACCAAGUGGUGUAUGAAAUAGCCCGGCUUAACCGGGCGAGGUUAUGCCAGACUGGUCGUCUGGAGUGCGAGAGAGGGGCGUGGAAUUCCGGGUGUAGUGGUGAAAUGCGUAGAGAUCCGGAGGAACCCCAGAGGCGAAGGCGGCGCCCUGGCUCGCAACUGACGCUCAGACACGACAGCAUGGGGAGCGAACGGG
RNAcentral lists this ribosomal RNA (253 nucleotides) under uncultured bacterium. Its description in RNAcentral is "partial 16S ribosomal RNA". It matches the Rfam family "Bacterial small subunit ribosomal RNA", at positions 524 to 776 of the family's 1533-position model. The record is from RNAcentral.